RNAcentral lists this long non-coding RNA (3639 nucleotides) under Homo sapiens (human). RNAcentral describes it as "HSALNT0267558". The record is from RNAcentral. Lineage: Eukaryota; Metazoa; Chordata; Mammalia; Primates; Hominidae.
AAAGGAUCAAGAGAAUGAGUCAUGGGGGUAUUGAAGGGAAGAGCAUUCCAAAGAAGGGGAACAGCCAGUGCAAAGGUCCUGAGGAAGAAAUGGCGCUUGCAAGCUCAAGGAAUAGCAGAGUGUGGGUGAAGAGGAAGGAGUAGGAAGAGGAGAGAGAUCUUAGCAGGAGAUGAGGUCAGAGAGAAGACAGGGAGCGGGCAGAUCAUGCGGGGCCUUGUAGAACAAUGCAAGGCCUGGCUUUGACCCUGGGUGAAAUGAUGCCAUCUGAUUUACCUUCAAAAAGGCUCACUUGGAGAGGGGAGGCAGGGAGGCCAGUGAGGUGGCUGCAGCCAAAUUCAGAGAUGAGGUGUCGCUAUGUUGGCCAGGCUGAUCUUGAACUCCUGGCUUCAAGAGAUCAUCCUGCCUCGGCUUCCUAAAGUGCUGGGAUUACAGGUAUGAGCCACUAUGCCUGGCCCCUCUUAUAUUAUUUUCUUAUUUACUUGUGGAUGCCCUGAUUCUGUUUUAUCAGAAGAAAUGCUCCUAUGGCUGAAGUUUUGAGUAAGAUGUUAGUUAUUGGAGACAUAAAUAUGUCUCCAUACAGUAGUUAUCUAUAGAUAGCUAAAUACCCAGAUAUUUAGCUUACAAAAGUUACAAAAUUAUUUUUAACUUCAUUAUAAAUUGAUAUUUCAUUUUAGCUAAUACCUUUUGGGAGGGCAUGAAGGAGAUGACUUUGUCAUUUUUCUAUUUUAACCCAUUGAUAUGGUAAAUCAUAUCUAUAGAUUUCCUAAUAUUGAACCAUCCUUGUAGUCUUGGUGCAAACCCCUGCUUGGACAUAUUAUGGUAGUUAUAUGAUGUACUGUUGUAAGUGAUUCAUUAAUAUUUUAUUUAAUGUUUGGGAUCAAUUUGCUUUUUUCUUGUUGUUUUCAGCUUUUAGUGCUACUUUUAUGCCUGCUUUAUUUAAAAUUCAAAAAAAUUCUUCUUUCUAAAUGCAUUGGAACACUAUUUUUAUUCCUUAAUUAUAUUUUUAAAAUUGUAUUUUACCAUACAGUAAAAUUGACUUUAUUUGGAGAGUGUACAGUUCUAUGAGUUUUGACAGAUAUAUAUAUAUAAUCAGCACAUAUCAAGGCAUAGGACAAUUCCAUCAUUACAUAAAGCUCUCUUGUGGUUGCUAACCAGCAGGGAAGGCAGAGGAGGAAGGGAGGGAAGAGGAGUAAGAGGAAGAAGAAGAAAGAAAGAUGGAGGGAGGGAGAGAAAGGGAAAAAGAGAAAGAGAAAGAAAGGAAGGGAGGAAAGGGGGAAAAAGGGAGGAAGGGAAGGAGGGGGAGGAAAAAAGGGAAAGAGAGGUGAAGGGAAGGAGAGAAAAGUGUGAGAGAGGGAGGAGGGAGGAAGGGAAGGCUGAAGCAGGGAGGAAGGAGAGGAGAGAGAGGGAGAGGGAAAGGGAGAAGGGGAGAGAAGAUGAUGAUGAUCAGAAGGAACUUGUGGAACAGAAUCAAACAUUCCUCAGGGGUUCCCAGAAUUGUUUUUAUGGGGAACCUAGCAGAAGGAUGGAUUAUGGUUGGGAAGGCUAAGAGUCAUAGUAAUUUGGAUCUUAAAAUUACUUUCUGGUCAAAGACUGUUGAAACCUGAGAACAUAUUGGUGAAUGUUUGUUUGGAAGUAACUGUUGAAGCCUAUUAAUUUUCUUCUGAAUACAGCUUUAACUGUUUCAGUUUAUUUGUCCUUUCAGCCAGGAGUUGUUGGUGGGGAGAAAAUGUCUGAAUUUUUAUUUUUUGGUUUGCCUUUACUAUUAAUUUAUGCUUCUAUUGCAUGAAGUUCAGAGCUUGUGAACUGUACUAUAUCUACUAUACAAAUCUAAAAGAUAUGUACUAUAUCUUUUAGAUUUUUUUAGGUUUCCUUUGUAGCCUAGCACAUGUCAAAUAUUCCACUGGCAUGUGAAGAAAAGGAAUAUUCUCUGUUUUCUGUGGACAGAGUUUAACAUAUUAUAUAUACACAUAUUUGAUCAAUGUCAUUAAUUAUAUUAUUUAAAUUAUUUAUAGCUUUAAUUAUUUCUGAGAGGAGGGAGUUAAAGUUUUCUAUUCUUGUGUUUCUCCUGAUUUCACAUUGUAUUUAUCUAAGAGUUUUUGCUUCAUGUCUUUUGAUGUUACAUUAUCUGGAAUGAUGUCAUUGACAAUCAUUCUCAUUGUGUUUUACAUCCUUUAUCAGCAUGGGUAAUGCUUUGUCUCAUUUGAUAAUUUUUUUGGUUUCAUUUCAACUUUGUUGAUAUUAGUGUCAUGAAUCCUAAUUUCUUUUAGUUCAUAUUUGCCCGGCAGGUUCCCAAAAAUCAUUUCUUUAAAAUUCCUUCCCAAUCCUUUCCUUUUCUCUCACUCCCUCCUGCCCCCAUCUUAACUAUCCAGUUACUGAUAUAGUUUAUCACAUGUUUUUACUUUCUAAAAAGAGAUAUAUUUAUCUCUCUUCCUUGAUUUCUUAGCUCAAGAUACAAAACAAUGUAUAAUAGUGUAUAGUGAGUCUCUACCAUAAAAAAUUACAAGAUCUGUGGAUUCAUACUUCCUCCUUAUUUCAACUUUGUUAUGAUCUGAGAUUUUUAUCACAGGCCAUUGUAGGUAUUCCAUUUUAAUUGUUUAUUUUUACAUAAUAUAGAUUUUCUUUGAGGAGUUAUAAUUUUGACUUAAAAUUAAAUUUCACAGUUUUUGAGGCUUGAUUUUAUAUUUAAAAGGAUCCAAGAUUCACUUUUUUUUCCCCCCGAGAUAGGGUCUCACUCUGUCGCCCAGGCUGGAGUGCAUUCUUGCAGUCAUGGCUCACUGCAGCCUCCACUUCUGUGGCUUAAGUGGUCCUCCCAUCUCAGCCUCCUGAGUAGCUGAUGGUACAGGCAUGCGCCACCACACCCAGCUAAUUUUUAAAUUUUUUGUGGAAACUGAGUUUCUCUAUAUUGCCUAGGCUGGUCUUGAACUCCUGGGCUCAAGUGAUCCUCCCACCUCAGCCUCCCCGAGUGCUGAGAUUACAGAUAUGAACCACUGUGCUGGGCCCAAGAUUCACUUCUUAACCUCUUCUUUACCCUUCCUUCAAUAGCUUUCCUAUUCCUGACUUCUUUAUUUUGAAUUAUCUUUUGGUUUUCUGGGUUUUAUUAUUUUCUUUUUCUUUUUCUUUUUUUUUUGAGAUGGAGUUUUGCUCUUGUUGCCCAGGGUGGAGUGCAAUGGCGUGAUCUUGGCUAACCGCAAUCUCUGCCUCCUGGGUUCAAGCAAUUUUCCUGCCUCAGCCUCCCGAGUAGCUGGGAUUAUAGACAUGCACCUCCAUGCCUGGCUGAUUUUGUAUUUUUAGUAGAGACGGGGUUUCUCCAUGUUGGUCAGGCUGGUCUUGAACUCCCAACCUCAGGUGAUCCACCUGCCUCAUCCUCCCAAAGUGCUGGGAUUACAGGUGUGAGCCACCUUGCCCGGUCUGGGUUUUAUUAUUGAAAAGCAUUUUUUAAAAGAAAUGUUGAUGAAUCCUACAGUCCCUGAAUUUAGGUACUUCUAUGCACACAAGGAAGAUUAUGUGAGAUGAUGGAUAUGUUAACAAUUUGCUUGACUGUAGCAGUUAUUCCAUUGUGUAUAUGUACAUCAAAACAUUUUAUUAUACCUUAAAUACAUACAAUGAAUUUUUUAGAAGGAAAAAAAGCUAAAAACAAUG